GUGAGUCAUCGAAUCUUUGAACGCAUCUUGCGCUCCUUGGUAUUCCGAGGAGCAUGCCUGUUUGAGUGUCGUGAAAUCAUGUCAAUUUCAAUCUUUUUGUUUGAAAUUGGAUGUGGAUGCUGUUGCGUUACGCAACUCAUCCUAAAUGCAUUAGCGGUCUGCCUUGAUCACGUUACAAUGUGAUAAGAAAAAGCAUUGUUGAGAUCGAGUCAAGGUUGCUUCUAACAGUCGAAAGACAUAGCAUAUAAUGCCAUUUGACCUCAAAUCAGGUAGGAUUACCCGCUGAACUUAAGCAUAUCAAUAAGCGGAGGA
Molecule: unclassified non-coding RNA, 312 nt
Filed under: Geastrum sp.
Lineage: Eukaryota; Fungi; Basidiomycota; Agaricomycetes; Geastrales; Geastraceae
Description: partial contains 5.8S ribosomal RNA, internal transcribed spacer 2, and large subunit ribosomal RNA
Rfam family: 5.8S ribosomal RNA (bases 1-71)
Source: RNAcentral